Lipotes vexillifer (Yangtze River dolphin) is the source of this 72-nucleotide non-coding RNA. NCBI's taxonomy places the organism in Eukaryota, Metazoa, Chordata, Mammalia, Artiodactyla, Lipotidae. The record is from the annotation of a RefSeq genome assembly.
UCCCUGGUGGUCUAGUGGUUAGGACUCUGCAUUUUCACCGCUGUGGCCCUGGUUCAAUCCCUGGUUGGGGAA